GAUGAACGCUGACAGAAUGCUUAACACAUGCAAGUCUUUGGCGAAGCUGUGCUUGCACAGCCUAGCCAAGGCGGACGGGUGAGUAACGCGUAAGGAACUUGCCCUGCAGUCAGGGAUAACAGACGGAAACGACUGAUAAGACCUGGUAAAGUCAGGCGGACUCAUGUCCAGCCUGAUGAAAAGAGAUGCUGCAGGAGAGCCUUGCGUCCUAUUAGCUUGUUGGUGGGGUAACGGCCCACCAAGGCGAUGAUAGGUAGCCGGCCUGAGAGGGUGGACGGCCACAAGGGGACUGAGACACGGCCCUUACUCCUACGGGAGGCAGCAGUGGGGAAUAUUGGACAAUGGGGGCAACCCUGAUCCAGCAAUUCUGUGUGCACGAUGAAGGUUUUCGGAUUGUAAAGUGCUUUCAGCAGGGAAGAAAAAAAUGACGGUACCUGCAGAAGAAGCGACGGCUAAAUACGUGCCAGCAGCCGCGGUAAUACGUAUGUCGCAAGCGUUAUCCGGAAUUAUUGGGCAUAAAGGGCAUCUAGGCGGCCAGAUAAGUCUGGGGUGAAAACUUGCGGCUCAACCGCAAGCCUGCCCUGGAAACUAUGUGGCUAGAGUACUGGAGAGGUGGACGGAACUGCACGAGUAGAGGUGAAAUUCGUAGAUAUGUGCAGGAAUGCCGAUGAUGAAGAUAGUUCACUGGACGGUAACUGACGCUGAAGUGCGAAAGCUAGGGGAGCAAACAGG
Molecule: ribosomal RNA, 732 nt
Filed under: uncultured Leptotrichia sp.
Lineage: Bacteria; Fusobacteriati; Fusobacteriota; Fusobacteriia; Fusobacteriales; Leptotrichiaceae
Description: bacterial SSU rRNA
Rfam family: Bacterial small subunit ribosomal RNA
Source: RNAcentral